GAUGAACGCUGGCGGCGUGCCUAAUACAUGCAAGUCGAGCGAACGGACGAGAAGCUCGCUUCUCUGAUGUUAGCGGCGGACGGGUGAGUAACACGUGGAUAACCUACCUAUAAGACUGGGAUAACUUCGGGAAACCGGAGCUAAUACCGGAUAAUAUUUUGAACCGCAUGGUUCAAAAGCGAAAGACGGUCUUGCUGUCACUUAUAGAUGGAUCCGCGCUGCAUUAGCUAGUUGGUAAGGUAACGGCUUACCAAGGCAACGAUGCAUAGCCGACCUGAGAGGGUGAUCGGCCACACUGGAACUGAGACACGGUCCAGACUCCUACGGGAGGCAGCAGUAGGGAAUCUUCCGCAAUGGGCGAAAGCCUGACGGAGCAACGCCGCGUGAGUGAUGAAGGUCUUCGGAUCGUAAAACUCUGUUAUUAGGGAAGAACAUAUGUGUAAGUAACUGUGCACAUCUUGACGGUACCUAAUCAGAAAGCCACGGCUAACUACGUG
Molecule: ribosomal RNA, 497 nt
Filed under: uncultured bacterium
Lineage: Bacteria
Description: partial 16S ribosomal RNA
Rfam family: Bacterial small subunit ribosomal RNA
Source: RNAcentral